UGUAGCUCAGUCGGUUAGAGCAGCGGACUCAUAAUCCGUUUGUCGCAGGUUCGAGCCCUGCCG
This 63-nucleotide transfer RNA is filed under the name Winkia neuii. It matches the Rfam family "tRNA", at positions 6 to 65 of the family's 71-position model. From Rfam's summary of the family: Transfer RNA (tRNA) molecules are approximately 80 nucleotides in length. Their secondary structure includes four short double-helical elements and three loops (D, anti-codon, and T loops). The record is from RNAcentral. Lineage: Bacteria; Bacillati; Actinomycetota; Actinomycetes; Actinomycetales; Actinomycetaceae. RNAcentral also lists the same sequence under 1 other name.